CCUGACUGCUAUCGGAUUGAUACUAAGCCAUGCGAGUCUUUGCAGUAAUGCAAGGCAUACGGCUCAGUAACACGUAGUCAACUUACCCUAUGGACGAGGAUAAUCUCGGGAAACUGAGCAUAAUACUCGAUAGAUCAUAAUGCCUGGAAUGGUUUAUGGUUGAAAUGAUUCGUCGCCAUAGGAUGGGACUGCGGCCUAUCAGCUUGUUGGUGAGGUAAUGGCCCACCAAGGCGAUUACAGGUACGGGCUCUGAGAGGAGAAGCCCGGAGAUGGGUACUGAGACAAGGACCCAGGCCCUAUGGGGCGCAGCAGGCGAGAAAACUUUGCAAUGUGCGAAAGCACGACAAGGUUAAUCCGAGUGAUUUCUGCUAAAGAAAUCUUUUGCAAGUCAUAAAACCACUAGUGAAUAAGGGGUGGGCAAGUUCUGGUGUCAGCCGCCGCGGUAAAACCAGCACCUCAAGUGGUCAGGAGGAUUAUUGGGCCUAAAGCAUCCGUAGCCGGCUCUGUAAGUUUUCGGUUAAAUCCAUGUGCUCAACGCAUGGGCUGCCGAAAAUACUGCAUAGCUAGGGAGUGGGAGAGGUAGACGGUACUCGGUAGGAAGGGGUAAAAUCCUUUGAUCUAUCGAUGACCACCUGUGGCGAAGGCGGUCUACCAGAACACGUUCGACGGUGAGGGAUGAAAGCUGGGGGAGCAAACCGGAUUAGAUACCCGGGUAGUCCCAGCUGUAAACGAUGCAGACUCGAUGAUGCAUUGGCAUAUAGCCAGUGCAGUGUCGCAGGGAAGCCGUUAAGUCUGCCGCCUGGGAAGUACGUACGCAAGUAUGAAACUUAAAGGAAUUGGCGGGGGAGCACCACGAAGGGGUGAAGCCUGCGGUUC
Molecule: ribosomal RNA, 876 nt
Filed under: uncultured archaeon
Lineage: Archaea
Description: bacterial SSU rRNA
Rfam family: Archaeal small subunit ribosomal RNA
Source: RNAcentral